RNAcentral lists this ribosomal RNA (249 nucleotides) under uncultured bacterium. RNAcentral describes it as "partial 16S ribosomal RNA". It matches the Rfam family "Archaeal small subunit ribosomal RNA", at positions 473 to 720 of the family's 1478-position model. The record is from RNAcentral.
ACACCGGCGGCCCGAGUGGUGAUCGUGAUUAUUGGGUCUAAAGGGUCCGUAGCCGGUUUGGUCAGUCCUCCGGGAAAUCUGAUAGCUCAACUAUUAGGCUUUCGGGGGAUACUGCCAGACUUGGAACCGGGAGAGGUAAGAGGUACUACAGGGGUAGGAGUGAAAUCUUGUAAUCCCUGUGGGACCACCUGUGGCGAAGGCGUCUUACCAGAACGGGUUCGACGGUUGAGGGACGAAAGCUGGGGGCAC